GACGAACGCUGGCGGCGUGCUUAACACAUGCAAGUCGAGCGGUAAGGCCCUUUCGGGGGUACACGAGCGGCGAACGGGUGAGUAACACGUGGGUGACCUGCCCUCAGCUCUGGGAUAAGCCUGGGAAACCGGGUCUAAUACUGGAUAUGACUCCAUGACGCAUGUUGUGGGGUGGAAAGCCUUGUGCGGCUGAGGAUGGGCCCGCGGCCUAUCAGCUUGUUGGUGGGGUGANGGCCUACCAAGGCGACGACGGGUAGCCGGCCUGAGAGGGCGACCGGCCACACUGGGACUGAGACACGGCCCAGACUCCUACGGGAGGCAGCAGUGGGGAAUCUUGCGCAAUGGGCGAAAGCCUGACGCAGCGACGCCGCGUGAGGGAUGACGGCC
This 387-nucleotide ribosomal RNA is filed under the name uncultured bacterium. Its description in RNAcentral is "bacterial SSU rRNA". It matches the Rfam family "Bacterial small subunit ribosomal RNA", at positions 28 to 416 of the family's 1533-position model. The record is from RNAcentral.